AACAAAGGUCUAAGUAUACUAAAAGCACCAUAUCCCAUCUGAUCUUGGAAGCUAAGCAGUAUCAGCCCUGGUUAGUGCUUAGAUGGGAAACCACCAAUGAAUAUCAAGUGUUGUAGGCU
Molecule: ribosomal RNA, 119 nt
Filed under: Anolis carolinensis (green anole)
Lineage: Eukaryota; Metazoa; Chordata; Lepidosauria; Squamata; Anolidae
Source: RNAcentral